This 240-nucleotide unclassified non-coding RNA is filed under the name Hevea brasiliensis (rubber tree). Lineage: Eukaryota; Viridiplantae; Streptophyta; Magnoliopsida; Malpighiales; Euphorbiaceae. The record is from RNAcentral.
UAAAGUUCUCUUAUCAUGUACGAGUACAGUAUCUAAAUCGAUAGCUUCGGGAAAUACAUGCUUCAUUUGUGCAAGAUGGCUAAUUAAAAACUUCUUUUUUGUCUGUCUUUCCAUUUGAGUGCAAAUGUUCUGAAAAGUUGGCAACUGAUUCUGCAGAGCAAGCCAUCUGAUGGAACACUCCAUCCCAGCAAAAAGAUUGUUCAAAGUCUUGUACUUGUCCGGAAGUUCAAGAGGUUUGGA